This 1435-nucleotide ribosomal RNA is filed under the name uncultured organism. RNAcentral describes it as "16S ribosomal RNA". It matches the Rfam family "Bacterial small subunit ribosomal RNA". The record is from RNAcentral.
CAGGCUUAACACAUGCAAGUCGAGGGGCAUCAGGAAGAAAGCUUGCUUUCUUUGCUGGCGACCGGCGCACGGGUGAGUAACACGUAUCCAACCUGCCCUUUACUCGGGGAUAGCCUUUCGAAAGAAAGAUUAAUACCCGAUAGCAUAAUGAUUCCGCAUGGUUUCAUUAUUAAAGGAUUCCGGUAAAGGAUGGGGAUGCGUUCCAUUAGGUUGUUGGUGAGGUAACGGCCCACCAAGCCUUCGAUGGAUAGGGGUUCUGAGAGGAAGGUCCCCCACAUUGGAACUGAGACACGGUCCAAACUCCUACGGGAGGCAGCAGUGAGGAAUAUUGGUCAAUGGGCGCUAGCCUGAACCAGCCAAGUAGCGUGAAGGAUGAAGGCUCUAUGGGUCGUAAACUUCUUUUAUAUAAGAAUAAAGUGCAGUAUGUAUACUGUUUUGUAUGUAUUAUAUGAAUAAGGAUCGGCUAACUCCGUGCCAGCAGCCGCGGUAAUACGGAGGAUCCGAGCGUUAUCCGGAUUUAUUGGGUUUAAAGGGAGCGUAGGUGGACUGGUAAGUCAGUUGUGAAAGUUUGCGGCUCAACCGUAAAAUUGCAGUUGAUACUGUCAGUCUUGAGUACAGUAGAGGUGGGCGGAAUUCGUGGUGUAGCGGUGAAAUGCUUAGAUAUCACGAAGAACUCCGAUUGCGAAGGCAGCUCACUGGACUGCAACUGACACUGAUGCUCGAAAGUGUGGGUAUCAAACAGGAUUAGAUACCCUGGUAGUCCACACAGUAAACGAUGAAUACUCGCUGUUUGCGAUAUACAGUAAGCGGCCAAGCGAAGGCAUUAAGUAUUCCACCUGGGGAGUACGCCGGCAACGGUGAAACUCAAAGGAAUUGACGGGGGCCCGCACAAGCGGAGGAACAUGUGGUUUAAUUCGAUGAUACGCGAGGAACCUUACCCGGGCUUAAAUUGCAGUGGAAUGAUGUGGAAACAUGUCAGUGAGCAAUCACCGCUGUGAAGGUGCUGCAUGGUUGUCGUCAGCUCGUGCCGUGAGGUGUCGGCUUAAGUGCCAUAACGAGCGCAACCCUUAUCUUUAGUUACUAACAGGUUAUGCUGAGGACUCUAGAGAGACCGCCGUCGUAAGAUGUGAGGAAGGUGGGGAUGACGUCAAAUCAGCACGGCCCUUACGUCCGGGGCUACACACGUGUUACAAUGGGGGGUACAGAAGGCAGCUAGCGGGUGACCGUAUGCUAAUCCCAAAAUCCUCUCUCAGUUCGGAUCGAAGUCUGCAACCCGACUUCGUGAAGCUGGAUUCGCUAGUAAUCGCGCAUCAGCCACGGCGCGGUGAAUACGUUCCCGGGCCUUGUACACACCGCCCGUCAAGCCAUGGGAGCCGGGGGUACCUGAAGUACGUAACCGCAAGGAUCGUCCUAGGGUAAAACUGGUGACUGGGGC